RNAcentral lists this transfer RNA (73 nucleotides) under Bos taurus (domestic cattle). It matches the Rfam family "tRNA". From Rfam's summary of the family: Transfer RNA (tRNA) molecules are approximately 80 nucleotides in length. Their secondary structure includes four short double-helical elements and three loops (D, anti-codon, and T loops). Lineage: Eukaryota; Metazoa; Chordata; Mammalia; Artiodactyla; Bovidae. The record is from Rfam by way of RNAcentral. RNAcentral also lists the same sequence under 5 other names.
UCUCUGAUGGUCCAGUGGUUAGGACUCUGCACUUCGACUGCAGAGGGCAUGGGUUUGAUCCCUGGUCUAAGAA